This 524-nucleotide ribosomal RNA is filed under the name uncultured bacterium. Its description in RNAcentral is "bacterial SSU rRNA". It matches the Rfam family "Bacterial small subunit ribosomal RNA", at positions 9 to 526 of the family's 1533-position model. The record is from RNAcentral.
GAGUUUGAUCCUGGCUCAGGAUGAACGCUAGCGGCAGGCUUAACACAUGCAAGUCGAGGGGCAGCGCGGGGCGGCAACGUCCUGGCGGCGACCGGCGGAAGGGUGCGUAACGCGUGAGCGACAUGCCCGUUGCCCGGGGACAACCGGUGGAAACGCCGACUAAUCCCCGAUGGGACGGAGGCCCUCAUGGGUCUCUGUUGAAAGUUACGGCGGCGACGGAUUGGCUCGCGUCCGAUUAGCUUGUUGGCGGGGUAACGGCCCACCAAGGCUACGAUCGGUAGGGGUUCUGAGAGGAAGGUCCCCCACAAUGGAACUGAGACACGGUCCAUACUCCUACGGGAGGCAGCAGUGAGGAAUAUUGGUCAAUGGGCGGAAGCCUGAACCAGCCAUGCCGCGUGCGGGAAGGAGGCCCUAUGGGCUGUGAACCGCUUUUGCCUGGGGGCAAUAAGGGCGUCGCGCACGUCCGAUGAGAGUACCAGGGGAAUAAGCAUCGGCUAACUCCGUGCCAGCCGCCGCGGUAAUAC